Long non-coding RNA from Telopea speciosissima, 603 nucleotides. RefSeq lists it as uncharacterized. The record is from RefSeq and is a predicted model, not a curated record. The transcript has 3 exons. Lineage: Eukaryota; Viridiplantae; Streptophyta; Magnoliopsida; Proteales; Proteaceae.
CAAAGGCAAAGCUCAGAGCACAGGGUUUCCCAAGGUUCGGGUAAGAUGAGGUUGAGAGGAAUGGUUUUACAAGGUGGCAUUCUCUGCCUUGUUCUACCAAUGGGAAAUUGAACUCAGAAUCGUCACGAACACAGAGAUUGGUUCAUGGAAGUGGAAAAGGUGGAGUUAGAGACAGGUCAAUGUUGUCUUCGGGGGAUGGUAAUGCUAAGGCUGUGCAAGCAGAAUGGAGGAAGUGAUCUUGCAAAAAUUGGGGUUUCAAGGAAAGACGUCACACCAAGCAGGUAAACUUGGCUACUUGUCCUUUUUUUUUUUGACCGAGUGUCCGAAGUUUUUUGUUUUUGCCCUUAUGGUACAAAAUUCAGUUGUAAAACUUGAAGCUGGACUGAGGAAAAACAAUUGUGUGGUGUGCCUGGAGACUCUACUUGUCUAUUGUUAUCGUGGUGCUUUCGAUCUAUUCUGUAUAGUCUUAGGAUAUACUGUAUGGUGUGAUAUCAUUAGGGAUUGUUUGUGCUAUUUUUUUUUUUCAAAUUUUUUUAAUAAUAGAAUUUCAAACUUUGUAAGAGCCAUAAAUGUUUAUUAUAUGGUUUCUCACAUAUAGUUGAA